This 427-nucleotide ribosomal RNA is filed under the name uncultured bacterium. RNAcentral's name for it is "partial 16S ribosomal RNA". It matches the Rfam family "Bacterial small subunit ribosomal RNA", at positions 355 to 774 of the family's 1533-position model. The record is from RNAcentral.
UGGGGAAUAUUGCACAAUGGGCGCAAGCCUGAUGCAGCCAUGCCGCGUGUAUGAAGAAGGCCUUCGGGUUGUAAAGUACUUUCAGCGGGGAGGAAGGUGUUGAGGUUAAUAACCUCAGCAAUUGACGUUACCCGCAGAAGAAGCACCGGCUAACUCCGUGCCAGCAGCCGCGGUAAUACGGAGGGUGCAAGCGUUAAUCGGAAUUACUGGGCGUAAAGCGCACGCAGGCGGUCUGUCAAGUCGGAUGUGAAAUCCCCGGGCUCAACCUGGGAACUGCAUGCGAAACUGGCAGGCUAGAGUCUUGUAGAGGGGGGUAGAAUUCCAGGUGUAGCGGUGAAAUGCGUAGAGAUCUGGAGGAAUACCGGUGGCGAAGGCGGCCCCCUGGACAAAGACUGACGCUCAGGUGCGAAAGCGUGGGGAGCAAACA